Molecule: long non-coding RNA, 429 nt
Filed under: Homo sapiens (human)
Lineage: Eukaryota; Metazoa; Chordata; Mammalia; Primates; Hominidae
Description: non-protein coding lnc-SERINC1-5:2
Source: RNAcentral
UGAGCCAGGUGUGGGAUAUAGUCUCGUGGUGCGCCGUUUCUUAAGCCGGUCUGAAAAGCGCAAUAUUCGGGUGGGAGUGACCCGAUUUUCCAGGGACUUUAUAAUUGAUGGCUUAUCAGUGGAGAGAAAUCAUGUUCUUGUUAGAAUAAAUCUUGUUGGUGGGCCAUUGGAACGGAUUUUGCCUCCGAGGUUACUCGAAAAGAGUGAUAAUCCAUAUCCUUGGCCAAUGUUUUCAUCAUAUCCAUUGCCAAACUGCUAUCUGUCAGACAUUACAAGAAAUGCUGGUAUAAAACAAGACAAUGAUCUUGACAAGCUUUUAUUAUGCCUCAAAAUAUCUGAUAAACAAACUGAAUGGAUAGAAAACUGCCAAAGACAAUUUUGCAAAAUGAUGAAAGCCAAACCUGAUAUAAUCAGUGGAGAGGCCUUAAU